Molecule: unclassified non-coding RNA, 380 nt
Filed under: Hevea brasiliensis (rubber tree)
Lineage: Eukaryota; Viridiplantae; Streptophyta; Magnoliopsida; Malpighiales; Euphorbiaceae
Source: RNAcentral
GGGAGAUCCACCAUUCUUUCCCGCUGACUCUUUUUGUGCAUCACACCGCCCGAUUAGACCAUCAGACAUUGAAACAACUCAAGCAGUGGACUUGGCAAUUCGUUAUAAUCCGGCCAGUAUGCUCGAUUCUGAUGAUCUCAUGUCAACUUCUUGGAAUCUACAAUAAUUUCCUCAGUUGGACUUUCACCAUGGUAUUGAACAUCUCGGUUUCUCUCGCAUUGUAUGCUUUGGUUGUCUUCUACCAUGUCUUUGCCAAGGAGCUUGCGCCUCACAAGCCUAUGGCGAAAUUUUUGUGCAUCAAGGGGGUUGUCUUCUUUUGCUUCUGGCAGGGAAUUGCACUUGAGGUGUUAACAUCAGCGGGGGUUAUACGAUCGCAUCAC